UAUUGGAUUUUUGGUUUGUUAAUGUAGAUUCACGGUUGUCAAUCGGGGCACUUUCGCGCCUGAUCGCGGGGUGGAAAGUAAAUGCUGCUGCAAUAAAUUGCAACAACCAGAAAGGGUUAAUACUGCCAACACCCAAAGGUGUUGGCCGGGGGUGAUAAUGGCGGGCCUUGCGGCCGCACCCAAAUCAGUAAUGAUCCUUCCGCAGGUUCACCUACGGAAA
RNAcentral lists this unclassified non-coding RNA (220 nucleotides) under uncultured fungus. Its description in RNAcentral is "sequence contains ITS1". Lineage: Eukaryota; Fungi. The record is from RNAcentral.